Molecule: ribosomal RNA, 501 nt
Filed under: uncultured bacterium
Lineage: Bacteria
Description: bacterial SSU rRNA
Rfam family: Bacterial small subunit ribosomal RNA
Source: RNAcentral
UCAGGAUGAACGCUAGCGACAGGCCUAACACAUGCAAGUCAGGGGCAGCACAAGGAGCAAUCUGAGGUGGCGACCGGCGCACGGGUGAGUAACACGUAUGCAACCUGCCUGUAAGCGGGGAAUAACCCGUUGAAAGACGGACUAAUACCGCAUAAUACUAAAUUACUGCAUGGUAAUUUAUUUUAAACAUUUAUGGCUUACAGAUGGGCAUGCGCAUGAUUAGCUAGUUGGAGAGGUAACGGCUCCCCAAGGCAACGAUCAUUAGGGGUUCUGAGAGGAAGGUCCCCCCACACUGGUACUGAGACACGGACCAGACUCCUACGGGAGGCAGCAGUGAGGAAUAUUGGUCAAUGGACGAGAGUCUGAACCAGCCAAGUCGCGUGCAGGAAGAAUUGUCCUAUGGAUUGUAAACUGCUUUUGCAGGGGAAUAAAGUGCAUCACGUGUGAUGUUUUGUAUGUACUCUGCGAAUAAGGAUCGGCUAACUCCGUGCCAGCCGCGGC